GACGAACGCUGGCGGCGUGCUUAACACAUGCAAGUCGAACGGAAAGGCCCUGCUUGCAGGGUACUCGAGUGGCGAACGGGUGAGUAACACGUGGGUGAUCUGCCCUUCACUUCGGGAUAAGCCUGGGAAACUGGGUCUAAUACCGGAUAGGAGCCAUUUUUAGUGUGAUGGUUGGAAAGUUUUUUCGGUGUAGGAUGAGCUCGCGGCCUAUCAGCUUGUUGGUGGGGUAAUGGCCUACCAAGGCGGCGACGGGUAGCCGGCCUGAGAGGGUGGACGGCCACAGUGGGACUGAGAUACGGCCCAGACUCCGACGGGAGGCAGCAGGGGGGAAUAUUGCACAAUGGGCGCAAGCCGGAUGCAGAGACGCCGCGUGGGGGAUGACGGCCUUCGGGUUGUAAACUCCUUUCGCUAGGGACGAAGCUUUUUGUGACGGUACCUAGAGAAGAAGCACCGGCUAACUACGUG
This 465-nucleotide ribosomal RNA is filed under the name uncultured bacterium. RNAcentral's name for it is "partial 16S ribosomal RNA". It matches the Rfam family "Bacterial small subunit ribosomal RNA", at positions 28 to 507 of the family's 1533-position model. The record is from RNAcentral.